UCGGGAAUUUUGGGCAAUGGGCGCAAGCCUGACCCAGCCACGCCGCGUGAGUGAUGAAGGCCUUCGGGUCGUAAAGCUCUGUGGGGAAGGACGAAAAAACAUUGGCUAAUAUCCAAUGGCUUGACGGUACUUCCUUAGCAAGCACCGGCUAACUCUGUGCCAGCAGCCGCGGUAAUACAGAGGGUGCAAACGUUGCUCGGAAUCAUUGGGCGUAAAGCGCACGUAGGCGGCCUGAUAAGUCGGUAGUGAAAGCCCUCGGCUUAACCGAGGAAGUGCUAUCGAAACUGCCAGGCUUGAGUACCGGAGAGGAUCGCGGAAUUCCCGGUGUAGAGGUGAAAUUCGUAGAUAUCGGGAGGAACACCAGUGGCGAAGGCGGCGAUCUGGACGGAUACUGACGCUGAGGUGCGAAAGCGUGGGGAGCAAACAGGAUUAGAUACCCUUGUAGUCCCUGAGCGGGCUGGCAAGGCGCAU
Molecule: ribosomal RNA, 471 nt
Filed under: uncultured bacterium
Lineage: Bacteria
Description: bacterial SSU rRNA
Rfam family: Bacterial small subunit ribosomal RNA
Source: RNAcentral